UGCCAUGUUAGUGGUACCACGUUGAGGAAAAAAGAUGUUAAUUUAGAAGGUUCUGAAUCACAACAUUCACUUACUCUUGCUGUUAAUUUAAAAAAUAAUGAAAAUUAAGUAAAACAGAGUCUCGUAGCUCAGCUGGUUAGAGUACUACACUGAUAAUGUAGGGGUCGGCAGUUCGAGUCUGCCCGGGACUACUUUUUUAGAGUUUAGAGUUAUAAAUUAUGAAUUAUAAGUUAUAAUAAAAAAACAACAAACUAAAAAAGACUGAAAUACUUAAGAUAAAGGAAAUUUUAGAAGUUGAGCGUUUAUGAGAGAAUUCAUAACUCAUAAUUCAUAACUCAUCAUUUAAAAAUGGGGGAUUAGCUCAGCUGGCUAGAGCGCCUGCCUUGCACGCAGGAGGUCAACGGUUCGACUCCGUUAUUCUCCACAAAGCCGAAAGCUAUAAGCUUUAGGCGGUAAGCUAAGAAAGCUUAAAGCGUAUUGCUUAAAGCCUACAGCUAAUAAAGUUCAUUGACAUAUUGAGAUAAGAAAAUAAUAAAAAGUAGAAAGCGUUUUUUACAAUUUAUUGUAAAAGACAAAAAAAAACGGUCUUAAUUAAUUUUAAGAUUGGUACAAUAAGCAAAAUAAGGGCGUAUGGGGGAUGCCUAGA
RNAcentral lists this unclassified non-coding RNA (646 nucleotides) under Flavobacterium johnsoniae. Its description in RNAcentral is "partial 16S-23S ribosomal RNA intergenic spacer". The stretch from base 351 to 424 matches the Rfam family "tRNA". Lineage: Bacteria; Pseudomonadati; Bacteroidota; Flavobacteriia; Flavobacteriales; Flavobacteriaceae. The record is from RNAcentral.